GGAGAAUUAGCUCAGCUGGGAGAGCGAGCAUCUGCCUUACAAGCAGAGGGUCGGCGGUUCGAACCCGUCAUUCUCCACCA
Molecule: transfer RNA, 80 nt
Filed under: Staphylococcus aureus
Lineage: Bacteria; Bacillati; Bacillota; Bacilli; Caryophanales; Staphylococcaceae
Description: tRNA-Val
Rfam family: tRNA
About the family: Transfer RNA (tRNA) molecules are approximately 80 nucleotides in length. Their secondary structure includes four short double-helical elements and three loops (D, anti-codon, and T loops).
Source: RNAcentral